UGGGCCUACACAUGCAAGUCGAACGGGUAACAGGAAGCAGCUUGCUGCUUCGCUGACGAGUGGCGGACGGGUGAGUAAUGUCUGGGAAACUGCCUGAUGGAGGGGGAUAACUACUGGAAACGGUAGCUAAUACCGCAUAACGUCGCAAGACCAAAGAGGGGGACCUUCGGGCCUCUUGCCAUCGGAUGUGCCCAGAUGGGAUUAGCUAGUAGGUGGGGUAACGGCUCACCUAGGCGACGAUCCCUAGCUGGUCUGAGAGGAUGACCAGCCACACUGGAACUGAGACACGGUCCAGACUCCUACGGGAGGCAGCAGUGGGGAAUAUUGCACAAUGGGCGCAAGCCUGAUGCAGCCAUGCCGCGUGUAUGAAGAAGGCCUUCGGGUUGUAAAGUACUUUCAGCGGGGAGGAAGGCGAUAAGGUUAAUAACCUUGUCGAUUGACGUUACCCGCAGAAGAAGCACCGGCUAACUCCGUGCCAGCAGCCGCGGUAAUACGGAGGGUGCAAGCGUUAAUCGGAAUUACUGGGCGUAAAGCGCACGCAGGCGGUCUGUCAAGUCGGAUGUGAAAUCCCCGGGCUCAACCUGGGAACUGCAUUCGAAACUGGCAGGCUAGAGUCUUGUAGAGGGGGGUAGAAUUCCAGGUGUAGCGGUGAAAUGCGUAGAGAUCUGGAGGAAUACCCG
This 680-nucleotide ribosomal RNA is filed under the name uncultured bacterium. RNAcentral describes it as "bacterial SSU rRNA". It matches the Rfam family "Bacterial small subunit ribosomal RNA", at positions 43 to 712 of the family's 1533-position model. The record is from RNAcentral.